CCUGGACCAGGUUUUAAUAACAGGAGUUGGUCACCAGAGAGGACGGGUCAAAGAUCCUUCACUCUGGAGGCUCCAGCAGGAGAAAACUUAUGAUCCUUGUAGCAAAAAGCAUUAACUGCUUAAUCACCAGUAACUAUUUUACAGUACAUAUGAAUAAACAUAUGGACCCAGUGCAGCCUGGCGUCAUGCGUGCAAGACCCCAACCCCAUCUUCCUGCUGGAGGGCAAAAACCUGCUGGCUGACAAUGACUAGCAUUGAUUUUAGCCAUUAAGUUGUCAUUAUAAUGCGCUAAAUCUUAAAUGUACGGCCUAUAUAUAAAAGAAAAAUGCUACUAACUGUCAGCACUACCACAACUAGAUAACAAGGUUAGAAAAAAGUUUUAAUCAAGAAAAAAAUAGCGAGGGAGAGGGAAGUAGGUCAGUUAUGCUAGCUUGACUAUGACAACUGUAAGAUGUAGAUGUGAUGUGGAAUUCAAUGUGUUUUGGUUCAGUUACAAAAUAUUAUGUGAUCUAAGCACCAGCUGUCAACACAUAAACCUAAACACCAACUCCCUGACAGAUCAUCAGGGGUUCAGGGGUUUAAAUUAGCUAAUCAGCCACCGCAGUGUUAGCUUAGCAGGUAGCAGCAGUGGCUAAUCUACCACAGCGAUCACUUAUUAAUAAUCGCAAAGGCCUAAAAACAUAAAACGGUAACAGACGGAAUGUUCUGUUCUCUGUGUGGGGAAUGUUUGAGUGUUUUUUGGUGUUAAAACCUGAAAUAAAAAGUGCUGUUGUUGUCAGUUGCUAUGACAACAAGUCUGCGUGUAGUGGUCUAGAGUUAUUCUUUAACGGUUUUUCUGCAUUAGUUUUCCCGUUGCUGUGGCGCACUGCACUAAAUUAAUAAUAAUAUUUACAUCUCCAGGUUUCCUUCAGCUAACGGAGUUGUUCUCCGGCGGCGGCGCGGCUACAGAUGGCGAGGAAAAAAAUCGCCUUUUUGCCCUGCAGCAUUGUGCACAUGUGCAAAAUUCCUGGAUGUGAACAACAACAUCCACUGGGUCCAUACUGCAGCAACGGUCCAUCUAAAUCACAUGAUCACUCUGAAACCAGACGCUCAGGAACUGUUACCAUGGUGAUGGACACACCUCUGUUUUCAGCAGAACUACAUUCUUCCUGUUUUAUGAACGUCAACAAAAGCAUGCUGUCUGCGAGGUCAUGAUGUAAUGAAGGGAAGUGAACUUUGGUCUAAACCACGUCAGAUGUGACCAGCUCUAACGGCUGUGAUGCGUUCAGGGACUGUUUGUUUAUUUCAGUGGGUUUCCAGAGAGCGGAUCUGUUCAUAAAACUCAGAUGAAACCAGAA
Molecule: long non-coding RNA, 1337 nt
Organism: Xiphophorus couchianus (Monterrey platyfish)
Lineage: Eukaryota; Metazoa; Chordata; Actinopteri; Cyprinodontiformes; Poeciliidae
Exons: 2
Source: RefSeq, a predicted model, not a curated record